CACCACAACGGGUGGAGCUUGCGGUUUAAUUGGAUUCAACGCCGGAAAUCUUACCGGGACCGACAGCAAUAUGAAGGCCAGGCUGAAGACUUUGCCGGAUUAGCUGAGAGGUGGUGCAUGGCCGUCGUCAGUUCGUACUGUGAAGCAUCCUGUUAAGUCAGGCAACGAGCGAGACCCACGCCCACAGUUGCCAGCGUACUCUCUGGAGUGACGGGUACACUGUGGGACCGCCGCUGCUAAAGCGGAGGAAGGAAUGGGCAACGGUAGGUCAGUAUGCCCCGAAUAUCCCGGGCUACACGCGAGCUACAAUGGUUGGUACAAUGGGUAUCUACCCCGAAAGGGGACGGGAAUCUCCUAAAACCAAUCUUAGUUCGGAUUGAGGGCUGCAACUCGCCCUCAUGAGGCUGGAAUCCGUAGUAAUCGCGUUUCAACAGAACGCGGUGAAUACGUCCCUGCUCCUU
RNAcentral lists this ribosomal RNA (461 nucleotides) under uncultured Methanosaeta sp. Its description in RNAcentral is "bacterial SSU rRNA". It matches the Rfam family "Archaeal small subunit ribosomal RNA", at positions 877 to 1338 of the family's 1478-position model. The record is from RNAcentral. Lineage: Archaea; Methanobacteriati; Methanobacteriota; Methanomicrobia; Methanotrichales; Methanotrichaceae.